UAGGGAAUCUUCGGCAAUGGACGAAAGUCUGACCGAGCAACGCCGCGUGAGUGAAGAAGGUUUUCGGAUCGUAAAACUCUGUUGUUAGAGAAGAACAAGGACGUUAGUAACUGAACGUCCCCUGACGGUAUCUAACCAGAAAGCCACGGCUAACUACGUGCCAGCAGCCGCGGUAAUACGUAGGUGGCCAGCGUUGUCCGGAUUUAUUGGGCGUAAAGCGAGCGCAGGCGGUUUCUUAAGUCUGAUGUGAAAGCCCCCGGCUCAACCGGGGAGGGUCAUUGGAAACUGGGAGACUUGAGUGCAGAAGAGGAGAGUGGAAUUCCAUGAGUAGCGCUGAAAUGCGUAGAUAUAUGGAGGAACACCAGUGGCGGAGGCGGCUCUCUGGUCUGUCACUGACGCUGAGGCUCGAAAGCGUGGGGAGCGAACAGG
Molecule: ribosomal RNA, 429 nt
Filed under: Gemmatimonadota bacterium
Lineage: Bacteria; Pseudomonadati; Gemmatimonadota
Description: Gemmatimonadetes bacterium partial 16S ribosomal RNA
Rfam family: Bacterial small subunit ribosomal RNA
Source: RNAcentral